CGGGAGCCUGUAAUGUGACUACGCAAGUAGCUCAUUGCGCGACUGUAAAUAAUGCAGUGGUUCGCAAGUCAGUCUUAGGAUUGGCAACACUUUCGAAUUGCGGGGACGCCCUAAAGCUCCAGCUACCGUCUUAUUUUAGAAACAUCAUAGGACACCUGUGGUAAUCACACAGGGUAUGGUAAUAAUGCUGAAGAUGUACAAUGGGUUAUCCGCAGCCAAGCUCCGUCAGUUGUUCGUAAGCCAAUUGGCUUAUCGAAACCCGGGGAAGGUUCACAGACUAAGUGGAAGUGGGCGGAGUUCAAUUGCGAGCUCUGCUUAAGAUAUAGUCGGGCCCCUUGCGAAAGCUUGGGGGGUUGGUGGUACACCCAAGCUGAAUUUGGUUGUUCGCCAUGACCUACUGUUCCGUAGGUGAACCUGCGGAAGGAUCAUUACCGUGGGGCUUUGGCCCCAUUGAGAUAGCACCCUUUGUUUAUGAGUACCCUUGUUUCCUCGGUGGGCUUGCCCGCCAUGAGGACAUUAAAACCCUUUGUAGUAGCAGUAACUUCAGUUAAUAAUAAAUAUUAAAACUUUCAACAACGGAUCUCUUGGUUCUGGCAUCGAUGAAGAACGCAGCGAAAUGCGAUAAGUAGUGUGAAUUGCAGAAUUCAGUGAAUCAUCGAAUCUUUGAACGCACAUUGCGCCCUUCGGUAUUCCGUUGGGCAUGCCUGUUCGAGCGUCAUUUAAACCUUCAAGCUAUGCUUGGUGUUGGGUGUUUGUUCCGCCUCAGCGCGUGGACUCGCCUCAAAUUUAUUGGCAGCCGGUAUGUUGGCUUCGUGCGCAGCACAUUGCAAGCGAUUUCAGCAGACCUCCUUCCACAAGCCUUUUUUUACUUUGACCUCGGAUCAGGUAGGGAUACCCGCUGAACUUAAGCAUAUCAAUAAGCGGAGGAAAAGAAACCAACAGGGAUUGCCCCAGUAACGGCGAGUGAAGCGGCAAUAGCUCAAAUUUGAAAUCUGGCUCUUUCAGGGUCCGAGUUGUAAUUUGCAGAGGGCGCUUUGGUGUCGGCAGCAGCCUAAGUUCCUUGGAACAGGUCAUCAUAGAGGGUGAGAAUCCCGUAUGUGGCUGCUUGUCUUCACCGUGUAAAGCCCCUUCGAUGAGUCGAGUUGUUUGGGAAUGCAGCUCUAAAUGGGAGGUAAAUUUCUUCUAAAGCUAAAUAUUGGCCAGAGACCGAUAGCGCACAAGUAGAGUGAUCGAAAGAUGAAAAGCACUUUGGAAAGAGAGUCAAAAAGCACGUGAAAUUGUUGAAAGGGAAGCGCUUGCAGCCAGACGUGCCCGUAGUUGCUCAUCUGGGGUUUUCCCCAGUGCACUCUUCUAUAGGCAGGCCAGCAUCAGUUCGGGCGGUUGGAGAAAGACCUGUGUCACGUAGCUCUCUUCGGGGAGUGUUAUAGGGCAGGUGGAAUGCAACCAGCCUGAACUGAGGUCCGCGCAUCUGCUAG
Molecule: ribosomal RNA, 1475 nt
Filed under: Dothideomycetes sp. AS8-1
Lineage: Eukaryota; Fungi; Ascomycota; Dothideomycetes
Description: eukaryotic LSU rRNA
Rfam family: Eukaryotic large subunit ribosomal RNA (bases 872-1475)
Source: RNAcentral